This 421-nucleotide ribosomal RNA is filed under the name uncultured bacterium. RNAcentral's name for it is "bacterial SSU rRNA". It matches the Rfam family "Bacterial small subunit ribosomal RNA", at positions 361 to 774 of the family's 1533-position model. The record is from RNAcentral.
AUCUUCCGCAAUGGGCGAAAGCCUGACGGAGCAACGCCGCGUGAGUGAUGAAAGGUUUCGGCUCGUAAAACUCCGUUAUUAGGGAAGGACAAAUGGGUAAGUAACUGUGCACAUCUUGACGGUACCUAAUCAGAAAGCCACGGCUAACUACCUGCCAGCAGCCGCGGUAAGACGUAGGUGGCAAGCGUUAUCCGGAAUUAUUGGGCGUAAAGCGAGCGUAGGCGGUUUCUUAAGUCUGAUGUGAAAGCCCACGGCUCAACCGUGGAGGGUCAUUGGAAACUGGGAAACUUGAGUGCAGAAGAGGAAAGUGGAAUUCCAUGUGUAGCGGUGAAAUGAGCAGAGAUAUGGAGGAACACCAGUGGCGAAGGCGACUUUCUGGUCUGUAACUGACGCUGAUGUGCGAAAGCGUGGGGAUCAAACA